This 434-nucleotide ribosomal RNA is filed under the name actinobacterium BAL68. RNAcentral's name for it is "bacterial SSU rRNA". It matches the Rfam family "Bacterial small subunit ribosomal RNA", at positions 47 to 494 of the family's 1533-position model. Lineage: Bacteria; Bacillati; Actinomycetota; Actinomycetes. The record is from RNAcentral.
CUUAACACAUGCAAGUCGAACGAUGAAGCCCACCUUGCUGGGUGGAUUAGUGGCGAACGGGUGAGUAACACGUGAGUAACCUGCCCUUAACUCUGGGAUAAGCCUGGGAAACUGGGUCUAAUACCGGAUAGGAGCGYCCACCGCAUGGUGGGUGUUGGAAAGAUUUAUCGGUUUUGGAUGGACUCGCGGCCUAUCAGCUUGUUGGUGAGGUAAUGGCUCACCAAGGCGACGACGGGUAGCCGGCCUGAGAGGGUGACCGGCCACACUGGGACUGAGACACGGCCCAGACUCCUACGGGAGGCAGCAGUGGGGAAUAUUGCACAAUGGGCGCAAGCCUGAUGCAGCGACGCCGCGUGAGGGAUGACGGCCUUCGGGUUGUAAACCUCUUUCAGUAGGGAAGAAGCGAAAGUGACGGUACCUGCAGAAGAAGCACC